GUAGUCAUAUGCUUGUCUCAAAGAGUAAACCCCACACAUGUAAGUAUAAGCACAUAUACCGCGAAAAAGCGCGGAGCUCAUCAUAAAUCAUUUCGUGUUUUUUUUAGCACAUUUUCCUACUUGGAUAACCGUGGUAAUUCUAGAGCUAAUACAUGCUAAAAAUCCCGACUUCGGAAGGGAUGUAUUUAUUAGAUUAAAAACCAACGCCCUUUGGGGCUUCUUGGUGAUUCAUGAUAACUGGUCGAAUCGCAUGGCCUUGCGCCGGCGAUGGUCAUUCAAAUUCUGCCCUAUCACUCGAUGGUAGGAUAGAGGCCUACCAUGGUUUCAACGGGUAACGGGGAAU
This 343-nucleotide ribosomal RNA is filed under the name uncultured fungus. RNAcentral describes it as "partial 18S ribosomal RNA". It matches the Rfam family "Eukaryotic small subunit ribosomal RNA", at positions 20 to 370 of the family's 1831-position model. Lineage: Eukaryota; Fungi. The record is from RNAcentral.